This 362-nucleotide ribosomal RNA is filed under the name uncultured eukaryote. RNAcentral's name for it is "partial 18S ribosomal RNA". It matches the Rfam family "Eukaryotic small subunit ribosomal RNA", at positions 592 to 976 of the family's 1831-position model. The record is from RNAcentral.
CAAUAGCAUAUAUUAACGUUGUUGCAGUUGAAAAGCUCGUAGUUGAACUUUUGGUAGGAGCGACCUGGCCUUGGGCGCAUGCCCUUGUUUGCCGUGUGUCGUGUCUGGCCAUCCUUUUCUUCGUUUUCGGAGGGAUCUUUUACUGUGAGUAAACUGGAGUGCUCAAAACAAGACGUUUGUUUGGUACAUUAAAGCAUGGAAUAAUAAGAUAGGACCUGGUUACUAUUUUGUUGGUUUGCAUAGCUAGGUAAUGAUUAACAGGGACAGUUGGGGGUAUUCGUAUUUAAUUGUCAGAGGUGAAAUUCUUGGAUUUAUGAAAGACGAACGACUGCGAAAGCAUUUACCAAGGAUGUUUUCAUUAA